CUACGGAGGGUGCAAGCGUUAAUCGGAAUUACUGGGCGUAAAGCGUACGUAGGCGGUUCGUUAAGUUAGAUGUGAAAGCCCCGGGCUUAACCUGGGAACUGCAUUUAAAACUGGCGAACUAGAGUUGAGUAGAGGGGAGUGGAGUUUCAGGUGUAGCGGUGAAAUGCGUAGAGAUCUGAAGGAACACCAGUGGCGAAGGCGACUCCCUGGACUCAAACUGACGCUGAGGUACGAAAGCGUGGGUAGCAAACGGGAUUAGAAACCCUAGUAGUCC
RNAcentral lists this ribosomal RNA (274 nucleotides) under uncultured bacterium. RNAcentral's name for it is "partial 16S ribosomal RNA". It matches the Rfam family "Bacterial small subunit ribosomal RNA", at positions 523 to 796 of the family's 1533-position model. The record is from RNAcentral.